Oreochromis aureus is the source of this 785-nucleotide long non-coding RNA. RefSeq lists it as uncharacterized. NCBI's taxonomy places the organism in Eukaryota, Metazoa, Chordata, Actinopteri, Cichliformes, Cichlidae. The record is from RefSeq and is a predicted model, not a curated record. The transcript has 4 exons.
CAGCAGUGUUUACAGAACAGUUCUCCACAGUCACUGUCCACAUGGGUCAGUGGGACCAAGAAGCACUCUGCUAAUGUGUGGACUCUGACCAGCAACAUCCAGCAAGACCCAGGCAGCGUUUUCUAUCUCCCAGCUGGAGUUUUUUUGUUUGUCUGUGACUGGAGAGUCAGAUUUUUGUUGAGGCUGGAGGAACAGAGAGGUUAAUACACUCUACUGAUCCCUGAUGGGAGAAUCAUCACCUCUGCCAACAAAGAAGCCUGGUGGAUGUUUGUUUGCAGUCUGAUGAUGGGACAUCAUGCUCUGCAUCUUCAAAGUUUGUCUCUUGAUUAUUAUUCAUACACAGUAAUGUGAAGUAUGCUCAUAUCUAGUAUACCUGGACCAACCUGGUGCUCUUCAUUUAUGGAGGCUGUUGAGUCUGAAUGUUGGAUGUUGUGUAUCUCGUGUUCUCUGGGCUUUGUUGUCCUCAGUCUUUUUGCAGGAUCAGAAAACAAAACCAGGAGGCCUGUAAAUGUUUCUUCUCCAAUUGGAUGAUGAUAAGACUGUGACACGGGAUGCCACCUUUAGUCUUGUGAUGAAGCAAAGCUCAGGAAGAAGUGUGAUUAAAUGGUACCCACAUGUGUGCUGCUGAGAAGGAUGUACAGGGGCACCUGCAGCCAAAUCCAAGCCUCCUCAGCAACUUCAGGUCUGUCAGCGUGCUGAGGUCACAGAAACAAGAAAAGCAGCUUCAGAGUGUUGUUUACAGUUUUCUGUCAUCAUGAUCUCCCCUGAAGUUUAUCACUAUUUUA